UACGGGAGGCAGCAGGGGGAAUAUUGCACAAUGGGCGCAAGCCUGAUGCAGCCAUGCCGCGUGUAUGAAGAAGGCCUUCGGGUUGUAAAGUACUUUCAGUCGUGAGGAAGGUGUUAAGGUUAAUAACCUUAGCAAUUGACGUUAGCGACAGAAGAAGCACCGGCUAACUCCGUGCCAGCAGCCGCGGUAAUACGGAGGGUGCGAGCGUUAAUCGGAAUUACUGGGCGUAAAGGGCACGCAGGCGGUUAAUUAAGUUGGAUGUGAAAUCCCCGGGCUUAACCUGGGAAUGGCAUUCAAGACUGGUUAGCUAGAGUCUUGUAGAGGGGGUAGAAUUCCAUGUGUAGCGGUGAAAUGCGUAGAGAUGUGGAGGAAUACCGGUGGCGAAGGCGGCCCCUGGACAAAGACUGACGCUCAUGUGCGAAAGCGUGGGGAGCGAAACAGGGAUUAGAUACC
Molecule: ribosomal RNA, 453 nt
Filed under: uncultured bacterium
Lineage: Bacteria
Description: bacterial SSU rRNA
Rfam family: Bacterial small subunit ribosomal RNA
Source: RNAcentral